CCUACGGGCGGCAGCAGUGAGGAAUAUUGGUCAAUGGACGCAAGUCUGAACCAGCCAUGCCGCGUGCAGGAAGACGGCUCUAUGAGUUGUAAACUGCUCUUGUACGAGGGUAAACGCAGAUACGUGUAUCUGUCUGAAAGUAUCGUACGAAUCAGGAACGGCGAACUCCGUGCCAGCAGCCGGGGUAAUACGGAGGAUUCAAGCGUUAUCCGGAUGUAUUGGGCUUAAAGGGUGCGUAGGCGGUCGGAUAAGUUAGAGGUUAAUUCCCGAGGCUCAACUUCGGAAUUGCAUCUGAUACUGUUCGGCUAGAAAGUAGUAGCGGUAGGCGGAAUGUAUGGUGUAGCGGUGAAAUGCUUAGAGAUCAUACGGAACACCGAUUGCGAAGGCAGCUUACCAAGCUACUUCUGACGUUGAGGCACGAAAGCGUGGGGAGCAAACGGGAUUAGAUACCCGUGUAGUC
Molecule: ribosomal RNA, 460 nt
Filed under: uncultured bacterium
Lineage: Bacteria
Description: partial 16S ribosomal RNA
Rfam family: Bacterial small subunit ribosomal RNA
Source: RNAcentral